RNAcentral lists this unclassified non-coding RNA (388 nucleotides) under Zea mays. RNAcentral describes it as "misc RNA Zm00001eb101240". The record is from RNAcentral. Lineage: Eukaryota; Viridiplantae; Streptophyta; Magnoliopsida; Poales; Poaceae.
GAUGAUAUUGCGGAGGCUCAUGCUUUGGGAUUGGGCUUGGAUGUUGAUGUGACAGCGGUUACUCCGUCUGACCCCCCCUCGGACGUGGAAGGCGCUGCUGAUACUCCGUCUGAGACCAUCUCAAGAUUUCAGGGGCCAUUAUUAUUAGAGUACAAUGGAACAGUGAGGAGGGCUGACGCAGACUCAACUGUUCCACUCAGGCAUGAGGUGGUAGCCUCUGAUGACAGUUCCAGGCAGAAUUUUGGGGAUUCAUGUGACUCCUCAUUGGAUCCAUUAUCUUCUAUGGAAUCUAGAAGAAGAUCAUUCAUGGCUAAGAUAACAAUGGCACCUUCACAGCUCCUUGCUGCUCCUGUCCUCCCCAAGCGGUCAAGGGGUGCCACAAAACAUG